GAAACGCUGCGCGCGCGAGGUGGGCCCCUGUCUUCCAGCAGCUCCGGGCCUGCUCGCUAGGCCCGGGAGGCGCAGGCGCAGGCGCAGUGGGGGUGAGGGCGCGUGGGGGCGCACAGGUGGAGCCGGGUCCCCGACCCCCGAGAUCGGCAGGGCGCUGAAGACGUCCCUUCCACCCUCCAGCCUCUGGUGCACAUGGCUUCCUCCCCGGCGGUGGACGUGUCCUGCAGGCGGCGGGAGAAGCGGCGGCAGCUGGACGCGCGCCGCAGCAAGUGCCGCAUCCGCCUGGGCGGCCACAUGGAGCAGUGGUGCCUCCUCAAGGAGCGGCUGGGCUUCUCCCUGCACUCGCAGCUCGCCAAGUUCCUGUUGGACCGGUUAGGGGCCGGGAGAAGGGCUUGGGGGAGGGUACCCAGGCAGCAGCCCCUAGCCUCCUCUCCAGGGCCUGUCCUGCUGCUCUUUUCCACCCUCAGGUUUCUCACUUUACCAGGACGGCCUGUGUGACUUGUGGCCUCCGAGGGUCCUGCUCCCCU
Molecule: long non-coding RNA, 527 nt
Filed under: Homo sapiens (human)
Lineage: Eukaryota; Metazoa; Chordata; Mammalia; Primates; Hominidae
Description: non-protein coding lnc-SH3BP5L-3:4
Source: RNAcentral